AGUCGUAACAAGGUUUCCGUAGGUGAACCUGCGGAAGGAUCAUUAAAGAGGUGGCCUGACGGCCCUGAAAUCGGACAAGCCGGUCGGAUCGAGAGAUCCCCACGGCCCCGAGAACCCUGCGGAGAAGCCACAGUUGCCUCGGCGGCAGGGAGAAGGCGUUCGCGUCUUCCCCCCUCCGCCGGAGGAUCCAGACCUUGCAAACUCUUGCCAACGAGACCGGUCUCAGCGCCGGGCGUCAGCGAGGGGAGGAGGCCGCGCGCGCUCGCCCUGCGGGACGUGCGAACCUCUUCUUUGACCACGUCCGAAACAGAACAAACUUGAAAUUUGAAAAUCAAAACCUUUGACGACGGAUCUCUUGGUUCUG
Molecule: unclassified non-coding RNA, 364 nt
Filed under: fungal sp.
Lineage: Eukaryota; Fungi
Description: partial internal transcribed spacer region
Rfam family: Eukaryotic small subunit ribosomal RNA (bases 1-45)
Source: RNAcentral